Molecule: unclassified non-coding RNA, 253 nt
Filed under: uncultured Alphaproteobacteria bacterium
Lineage: Bacteria; Pseudomonadati; Pseudomonadota; Alphaproteobacteria
Description: contains 16S-23S intergenic spacer region
Rfam family: Bacterial small subunit ribosomal RNA
Source: RNAcentral
GACGGAGGGUGCUAGCGUUGUUGGGAAUCACUGGGCGUAAAGGGCGCGUAGGCGGCGGAGGCAGUCGGGUGUGAAAGCCCGGGGCUCAACCCCGGAACGGCACUCGAUACUCUUCGGCUCGAGGUCGGAAGAGGAGGGUGGAAUACCCAGUGUAGAGGUGAAAUUCGUAGAUAUUGGGUGGAACACCGGUGGCGAAAGCGGCUCUCUGGUCCGAACCUGACGCUGAGGCGCGAAAGCGUGGGGAGCGAACAGG